GAGUAUGGUUGGAACUAGUCAGUGUUGCUAACUACUUAUUACCGCGGUUCAAUUCCGUGGCCCACUCG
RNAcentral lists this transfer RNA (68 nucleotides) under Polypedates leucomystax (Java whipping frog). RNAcentral describes it as "tRNA-Ser". Lineage: Eukaryota; Metazoa; Chordata; Amphibia; Anura; Rhacophoridae. The record is from RNAcentral.